AUUUUAAUUUUUAACUCUAUUUGUUGUGAUUUCUUUUCUUUUUAGUUUUUUUUACGUUGUUUUUUGUAAAAUAUUUCAGUUUGUUAUGUGUUGGAAAGUAAUUAAAAAUUUGGUUUUUAAACUGGAUUAGUACCCAGGUAAUCAAAAUUUAUUAAUACGGGAGUAAAGUUUUGUUUAAACCGAAAAAAUAUUGACUGACUUUGGAUUUUUCUUUGGAAUAUGUAUUGUGGAAGGCCCUCCUUUUUAGUUGAUCAUGUGGGCACAUGUAUGAUUGUUUAGUUUUUAUUCUUUUUGUGAUGCGUUAACUUUUUGUGUUUUAAAACAGAUAAAUAUUUGGCUUAUUGGUUUAUUUAUAUGUGUUACUAUUUUAAAUUUUUUGGAUGUUUUUUUAAUUUUUUUCUGAAAUUGGAAAAGAAAGUAAUUUUAUUUUAAUAUUUUUAGAAUUAAAAGCAAA
RNAcentral lists this ribosomal RNA (454 nucleotides) under Cercopithifilaria roussilhoni. Its description in RNAcentral is "partial 12S ribosomal RNA". The record is from RNAcentral. Lineage: Eukaryota; Metazoa; Nematoda; Chromadorea; Rhabditida; Onchocercidae.